GAAAUGCGAUACGUAAUGUGAAUUGCAAAUUCAGUGAAUCAUCGAGUCUUUGAACGCACAUUGCACCCCCUGGUAUUCCGGGGGGCAUGCCUGUCCGAGCGUCAUUUCUGCCCUCAAGCACGGCUUGUGUGUUGGGCCCCGUCCUCCGAUCCCGGGGGACGGGCCCGAAAGGCAGCGGCGGCACCGCGUCCGGUCCUCGAGCGUAUGGGGCUUUGUCACCCGCUCUGUAGGCCCGGCCGGCGCUUGCCGAUCAACCCAAAUUUUUAUCCAGGUUGACCUCGGAUCAGGUAGGGAUACCCGCUGAACUUAAGC
RNAcentral lists this unclassified non-coding RNA (312 nucleotides) under plant metagenome. RNAcentral's name for it is "partial contains 5.8S ribosomal RNA, internal transcribed spacer 2, and large subunit ribosomal RNA". The stretch from base 1 to 104 matches the Rfam family "5.8S ribosomal RNA", at positions 50 to 154 of the family's 154-position model. The record is from RNAcentral.